This 665-nucleotide long non-coding RNA is filed under the name Homo sapiens (human). RNAcentral describes it as "non-protein coding lnc-SPATA31A3-7:1". The record is from RNAcentral. Lineage: Eukaryota; Metazoa; Chordata; Mammalia; Primates; Hominidae.
ACUCCAUCAGACCCCAAGAAAGAAAUCAAGAAUGGCAACUGAAAUUUGUCAUGCUUGAAGCAGCACCUCCUGGAAGACCUAUGAGUUUUGCUCAAGAAACUUUUGGGAACCAAUAAAACUAAACUAUAGUGAUGAAUAUAUAUACAUAUUUUUUGAGCGGGAUAACAUUGCCAGGAAACUUGAAUGUUACUCUUCAAGUAUGGGAUGUAGGGGGUGCGUACAAUACGCGGCAAGAAGGUGGAUGCAUUUAUCUAUGGACCACAGAGAAUCCUCUUGUUACAAAUUAGCAAAGCUUGGAGAAUUUAAAAGAUUGGUAAAGAUGGGUACAUUGUACUGAAGAAAGUGAGCGAAGAGUCAGAAGCUUUGCUACUGGUUGCCUUGGUGAGCAAUAAAAUUUAUUUGGAGCACAUGGAAACAGUAAAACCUGAAAAACACUUAUGGUUUUGCCAGGAAAAUGGUUUUAGUAGCCACUUUAUCUCAGCCAAGACAGGAGACUGUCUUCCUGUAUUUUCAGAAAGUUGCUAAUGAAAUCCUUGGACUCAAAUUAAACAAAUCAGAAAAAUAGAAGAGUCAGAGAGUGGUGAAGGCAGGUAUUGGAAACUACAACCAGGCCCCCAGAACGGUGACUUCCUACAAGCUCUAUGUCUGCAUCCGUGAGGGCAUUU